RNAcentral lists this ribosomal RNA (468 nucleotides) under uncultured bacterium. Its description in RNAcentral is "partial 16S ribosomal RNA". It matches the Rfam family "Bacterial small subunit ribosomal RNA", at positions 28 to 507 of the family's 1533-position model. The record is from RNAcentral.
GACGAACGCUGGCGGCGUGCUUAACACAUGCAAGUCGAACGGAAAGGCCCUGCUUUUGUGGGGUGCUCGAGUGGCGAACGGGUGAGUAACACGUGAGUAACCUGCCCUUGACUUUGGGAUAACUUCAGGAAACUGGGGCUAAUACCGGAUAGGAGCUCCUGCUGCAUGGUGGGGGUUGGAAAGUUUCGGCGGUUGGGGAUGGACUCGCGGCUUAUCAGCUUGUUGGUGGGGUAGUGGCUUACCAAGGCUUUGACGGGUAGCCGGCCUGAGAGGGUGACCGGCCACAUUGGGACUGAGGUACGGCCCAGACUCCUACGGGAGGCAGCAGUGGGGAAUAUUGCACAAUGGGCGGAAGCCUGAUGCAGCAUCGCCGCGUGCGGGAUGACGGCCUUCGGGUUGUAAACCGCUUUCGCCUGUGACGAAGCGUGAGUGACGGUAAUGGGUAAAGAAGCACCGGCUAACUACGUG